AAAACUUUGAAAACCAACUUCUGACGGUUUAGCAUGGCUAUCGUCAAAUACGUCCUUUAGUUACCGCGAUACACUUCAAGUACCGUUUUGAAUCAAUUGAACGAGUCACAGCGUUUUUCUUUGACGGUUUGGCGAUUACGAGCAGAGUGACAGGAAUUGGGAACCUGUAAUUUCUCUCUUGUAAGAAAGUAACAAAUUUGACGAAUUUUACAAAAUCGAAGGAACGAAGAUACCACUACGAUCGAGUCAUUCAAAGUCGAAAUUAAACGAGGAAAUUGAUCGUUUGAUUGCAUCAUCGUACCGCUUCGCAUACACCGAUGGGAAAUCCUUCCAUACUCAAAUACCAAGAUCGUGGAAUACAAAUAGCCGCGACGUCGACGUAGUGAAUAACAUAGUCGGCUGCGAACACCAAGAGUCCGGGUGGAUUCGAUUGCCUGGCACGCCAUAGUCUGUAUCGUAUUUUCCACGAUAAAUACUACGUACAUACCAUUAUUACACGAUACGAUAAUAAUAACCUGCUGAACUAAUGCAAAAUCACGAAAGUGAUUGAGUUAAGAUAUAGAACAGUCCUGACAAAUUAGUAAAAAAAUGCAACUAACCACGGAGGCAACUUAUUGAAGAGACAAGUAACAUAAUUCAUUUACGUUAGUAGCAACAACAGCAAAGUUUGCCAUAGUUAGAUUUGUAAUAUAUUUCUGAACGUAGUAAAAAAGAAAGAAAUAAUAAAGAUAGAGCUAAAUCUACUUAGAGUAAGUUUUGCUGUUGUGGCUUUUCUGCUAAAUUAUGUUAAUAAAAAAGAACAAAAUAUUACAAUAUAUUAUAAGUAAAUGUUAUUUUUUCAUUUCUAGAUAUAUUGCUUACAGAACAUUCCUUUUAGGUUGAUGUAUAUGUGGAACGAAUAUCGCAUGACUUUGUCAUACUGUCCAUUCAUUUCGGUAGCACCUGCUACACAAAAAUCUUACUGUUUACUGUUUCCAUUGCAUUUGUAACUUCUCUUUUUAUAAAUCCAGCAAUCUUCAUGUUUUUACCUUCAUGUUUUUUUAUUACUGAUAUUGACAAUACCACUAUCAAUAUCAACUAUCAAUAUCUAUCUAUUAUCACUAUCACUAUCAAUAUUGACAAUAUCAAUAUCAACUAAUUUCGUUGUUUAUCGGUUAAUGAAUUGUACUGCUCUAAAAUGUUAUAAAUUACGCUCUUUCUCUCUUUCUACAUCUACGACUAAUAACAUUAAGAAGUUGUAACGUUAAAUAUUACAUAAACCUCGGUGAAAGAUGAAAGCGAUUUGAAAUCUAUGAAAGUUGAUAGUAAAAGUAGCU
This 1316-nucleotide unclassified non-coding RNA is filed under the name Bombus terrestris (buff-tailed bumblebee). RNAcentral's name for it is "misc RNA ENSBTSG00005037893.1". Lineage: Eukaryota; Metazoa; Arthropoda; Insecta; Hymenoptera; Apidae. The record is from RNAcentral.